AUCUGUACCAUAGUAAAAUUUUAUAGUUGAGUAGAUAGUGAAUGGGCUAUGUGGUGUUAUUUGGAAGGAUUUUGAAAAAUAAAAGAUGAGUUAGUACCUACGGAAGAGGUUUGGUGUAAGGUACCGGACUUCUAAAACUAUGAAGUUACGGUGUACAUUUAAAUGGUUCCGGUGAGAUUGCGGUGGAAUGUAACAUACCGAAUUUUAAAUAUAAAAGUAAAAAUAAAUAAAAAUAGUAUAAGAUACUAUUUUUAUUGGAUUUAGAGAAGUGAAAUAUAGGUUGGGAAUGACCUGUGCUGAAAUCGGAGCGAAAGCAGAAGAUUUAGAAUUUUCUGUGAGAAACGGGGCAGAUAAAUUAGCAGAAAAUACAUAGUGUCAGAAAAUUAUGAAAACUGGUGGAUAUGUCAGAAUCAUUUUUAUGAUGCUAGAUUUAAAGUUUCAUGCCAUUCUGACACCCGAAAAAUAGAAAAUAAAAUCGAACUGCUAUCAGCUAAAGAUUAUAGUUCGGCACAGCUUUCGGUGACCAAAUGGGGUCGAAACUGAAAACUUAAGAUAUAUUCUUACUCAGUAUGUUAAACCGAGCCUGCCUGUCAAAUUUGAGCGCAAACGGACGUUCAGAAGGGCUUCGACUGUUCCGAACUGCUAAACUGCAAGUUGUAAUAGGUGUGAGAGGGGGUUUUGUGCAAUUGUUACAGCCCCUACUAGUGGCCUGGCAGCAUGCGCACACACACACACCCGCACACGUCUUCUCCCUCUCCUUCACACUUGCAACCGAAGGAAGAAAACCCUCACUUUCUCUCUCUUAAAGGUGGGAAAAAGGAGAAGGAUUGGUAGAGAAGAAAGCUUGGAGGAAAAGUUCAUCUUCUUCAUCUUCCUCAAUGGACCAUUAGAGCAAGCUUUGAGGUAAGCUUCUUGGAGCAUCCAUGGUAGAACUCUAGAAUAUGGAUUUUGAUCUCUAUAAAUGGUAUUUUUGGAAUUUUAGGAUGCUAAAUAGAUGAUUGUUGCUUAAAUCAUGGAUCAAUUUAGUUAUUUCUUGCAAUAGUUGUAAGCUAGGGCUCCAAUGGCAUUUUUGCUAGUAGAAGGGUUUGAUCUAAAUUAACCCUCCGUAAACUUAAUUGCUAGGUAAACGAACGCAUUGGCGAAGUCGGUUCGGCGAUUCGUCGAGCCGUUGUGAAGUUAUUAAAGAACAAACGUUAGGCUUCGUUUCCGCCUGGAGGGCCGAGGCGACGUUCAAAAAUCAUGAAAACGGAUUUGGAGCACUGUAGCAACAAAACGAAGACCCUUUUUGCCCGAGGCUGCGAAGCGAUGCGCGGUUGGUGAGCAAUUUUGAGUUCGGGCCGAACCGGGCACCAGGUGCCGCGGGAGGCCGAUUGCAAGUGUCGACAAACAAUCGGAACGAGAAACGAGGUGGGUUGUAUUUACCGAAGCGACUAGGUCGCCCUUUAUGUCUAAGAAACAUACGAAUUCAUAUUGAUGCAUAUUAAUAAAAUGACAUAGCUAAUGCAUGUGGACAAUGUGAUGCAAAAUGCUAAGUAGAUGCAUAUAAAAUGAUGUAAUAUAGAAAUGCUAGAAUACAUGAUGGCAUUUGCAUAUUAACGUAAAGUAGAAUACAUGCUAGUGAUAAUGCAAGUGAUAUGUAUGUGUGCAUUGGAAUGUAUGCUAGGUGCAUGUAACAUCAUGUGAGCAUGUUAGACAAGAUGCAUGUGCAUAUGGACUCGAUAUGACAAAUAAGAUGUCAAGUAGAUCGAGUGGCAUUAACCUAGUAUUAAUAAACAUAGGUUGGACAUAGAUGAUAUUGAACCUAGCGUUGUUGAACGUAAGAUAAAUAACGAGUGGCAUCUAACCUAGUGUUAAAGGACAUAGGUUGAGUAUGAACCUAGAGUCGGGAUCUAGGUGUGUGGCAGCUAACCUAGUGUUAAAGAACAUAGGUUGAGUAUGAACCUAGAGUCGGGAUCUAGGUGUGUGGCAUCUAACCUAGUGUCAAAGAACAUAGGUUGAGAACUGAACCUAGAGUUAAAGUAAACCUAGGUUGUGAAAUUGAGGCAUUAAACCUAGAGUUAGUUGGACCUAGGGUGGAAAGUGCAUUGUACCUAGAUAGGUCGACAGUAUAGGGUUGGAUAUGGACCCUUGACUUGUGAAGUGGAUUCCGGAAUCCCGAGACUUCUGAGCUCAAUAGUUCUUGGACCGCAGGUAUAUGUGGCAUGUUCCUCUCCUACUGGAAGAACUUUGAGUAUUGUGACUGAGCAAGAAUAGAUAGCGCUAGGGUGUAUGCGGCAUGUUCCUCUCCCUAUCGGGGAUCUUGGCUAUGGGUGUAUGCGGCAUGUUCCUCUCCCACUGGCAGAUCCCUGACCACGGUGCAUGGACCUUCGGGCGGACCGUUGGGCGAUGUGGUUCUUGGCUUGCAGGCUGAGGUGCAUGUGACAGGGUCCUUCACCUCGAGCCGGCAGAGUGCGGAUUAUCCGCAGUUGAUUGACUCGAGGCCGAGUUGGGUGGCUAGCUGGAAUAAGGUGGAUAGAACCUUGAGGGCUAGUGGUAAAUGUGAUAACCUAAGGUAAUAGAAACCUUAGAGUUGGAUGACAUGAGCUAAGAUUAGCAAGAUUGAUUGUAGAAUCAAUAGAUCUACUAGUUGUUGCAUAUAUAUUCAUGUUGCAUAUAGCAUGGCAUCGUUUCAGUUGUGAGGCAAAGCAAGGUAAAGUUAGUUGCAUGUUUUUUAUAUAUAUAUCUAUCUGUUUAUUGGACUAACUUGUAUUUGCCUCCCUUGGGUGGCCGUACCCACUGGGAACCAUGGAGUUGGUUCUCACCCCACGUUGUUUUGGGGUGUUUCAGGUUGGCACGUGAGCAGCGCGGCGGCGCAAGGCAAGGGCGUAGCUCUAUAGAUAGCACCCUACCCCAGAGACCAGAGAUAGCGGUACCCCGAGUCGGCAUAGCCUGGGGGUAGAGGAAAAUGAAAAGAACAAAUGUAUCAAACUCGUAAUGAAUAAAUGAUGUAAUAACUUAUUUUGCAUUUGGGAGUUGAAUGUAAUGUACAAAUGAAUCUCAUGUGAAUGGUUGUAAUAACAUAGGAUGUGUUAUGUUUUUGAUACUUCCUUAUGCAAUCUAUAUGUUGAAUACUGUUCCUGGUUGGAACCUUCAUAUAUUGUAUUGAUUGCGACGCCUAGGACGUACAGGGAAAACUCUGUCCGUUCAGCGGUUUGUCGGCGUGCCGAACCUGACCAAAUAGGCGGGGCUCGGGGCGUGACAUUUGGACCAUGAGAAAGAUGAGCUCAAUGGAUGAGGAUCACACUAUGGUUUAAUUGGUAAAUUGUCGACUAAGGAUCACGUCUAGAAUGUCCAAUUGAUGCUUGCAGGAGUUUGAAGUCGUAGAAGUAAUUGUCAAGUUUCGGGUGAAGAAGGAUGAUAGAGGUGGCUUGUGUGGUGCGCUGGACUUCGCAAAUUAGUGAAUUUCCAGUGACAAAUAGUAAUUGAUACUAUUUAGAUAGUUUUAGUGGUUUUUGACAUGUUGGACUAAUUUUAGUGUGAAUAUUGUAAGGUGCCGAACUUCUGUAGUUAUGAAGUUGCGGUGGAAUGUAAUAUACCGGAUUUUAAUAUAAAAGUGAAAAUAAAUAAAAAUAAUAUAAGAUACUAUUUUUAUUGGAUUUAGAGAAGUGAAAUAUAGGUUGGGAAUGACCUGUACUGAAAUCGGAGCGAAAACAGAAGAUUUAGAAUUUUCUGUGAGAAACGGGACAGAUAAAUUAGCAGAAAAUGCAUAGUGUCAGAAAAUUAUGAAAAUUGGAGGAUAUGUCAGAAUUAUUUUUAUGAGGCUAGAUUUAAAGUUUCAU
This 3818-nucleotide long non-coding RNA is filed under the name Ananas comosus (pineapple). RNAcentral describes it as "long non-coding RNA (ACOM_LNC007035)". Lineage: Eukaryota; Viridiplantae; Streptophyta; Magnoliopsida; Poales; Bromeliaceae. The record is from RNAcentral.